UACGUAGGGAGCAAGCGUUGUCCGGAAUCAUUGGGCGUAAAGCGCGUGUAGGCGGCUUUGCAAGUCGGGUGUGAAAGCCCUCAGCUCAACUGAGGGAGUGCGCCCGAAACUGCAGAGCUUGAGUACUUAAGAGGAUCGCGGAAUUCCCGGUGUAGAGGUGAAAUUCGUAGAUAUCGGGAGGAACACCAGUGGCGAAGGCGGCGAUCUGGGAAGAUACUGACGCUGAGGAGCGAAAGCGUGGGGAGCGAACAGG
RNAcentral lists this ribosomal RNA (253 nucleotides) under uncultured bacterium. RNAcentral describes it as "partial 16S ribosomal RNA". It matches the Rfam family "Bacterial small subunit ribosomal RNA", at positions 524 to 776 of the family's 1533-position model. The record is from RNAcentral.